GACGAACGCUGGCGGCGUGCUUAACACAUGCAAGUCGAACGAUGAACCGGUUUCGGCCGGGGAUUAGUGGCGCACGGGUGAGUAACACGUGGGCAAUCUGCCCUGCACUCUGGGAUAAGCCCGGGAAACUGGGUCUAAUACCGGAUACGACACUCCGAGGCAUCUUGGGGUGUGGAAAGUUCCGGCGGUGCAGGAUGAGCCCGCGGCCUAUCAGCUUGUUGGUGGGGUAAUGGCCUACCAAGGCGACGACGGGUAGCCGGCCUGAGAGGGUGACCGGCCACACUGGGACUGAGACACGGCCCAGACUCCUACGGGAGGCAGCAGUGGGGAAUAUUGCACAAUGGGCGAAAGCCUGAUGCAGCGACGCCGCGUGAGGGAUGACGGCCUUCGGGUUGUAAACCUCUUUCAGCAGGGAAGAAGCGAAAGUGACGGUACCUGCAGAAGAAGCACCGGCUAACUACGUG
RNAcentral lists this ribosomal RNA (464 nucleotides) under uncultured bacterium. RNAcentral describes it as "partial 16S ribosomal RNA". It matches the Rfam family "Bacterial small subunit ribosomal RNA", at positions 28 to 507 of the family's 1533-position model. The record is from RNAcentral.